CUAUGGUAUUAAAUACCAUGGCGGAAGGAG
This 30-nucleotide non-coding RNA is filed under the name unclassified sequences. Its description in RNAcentral is "L31-Firmicutes ribosomal protein leader". It matches the Rfam family "L31-Firmicutes ribosomal protein leader". The record is from RNAcentral.